CUUAAUUUAAUUUAAUUUUUUUCGAUCUAUUCAAAUUAAUAAAAAGUAAAAAAUAAAACUAUAAACUAACUUAAAUACAAAAUAAACCCAAAGAGACUAUAACUCAAUACAAAAUAAACCCAAAGAGAAUCCGAGUCUUAGUACUCAAUACCUUGAUCCGACAUAAGCACUCUCGGGCUUCAUGCAACCUUCAUCCUCUUUCAGCAGAAUCAAUGACAACUCCAAGUCAAAACCAGUGAAAGGUCAUUCUACAAACAGCUAAAGACUUUGAAAAUACUCACUUAAGAAUAGAGAAAAAAAAAGAUCAAGAUUUUUAAAAAAGAACAUACACUGCAAGAUGGAAAAUCCAAAAAACCAAAUGGAAGCUGUAGAGGUGAAACACAUUUUUUAUCACAUCAAGGAGCUCGCAAACGUAUCGAGGGAAGCUAUCUUCGCUCAGAUCCUUGUCAGGAGGAAAGGAAGGCGUGUUCUUCUGCGAUAAAUGUGCUUUCGAAGAAUUGGCUCCACGAACCAUCGCCAACAUCUCUUCCUUGUUUGAAAACCCAGAGGAGCACAGAGCAAGGAGAAAAUAGCUUCUGCAAACAACACAACCAAAGAAAAAACAAAACCAAAAAAACAAAAAUAUAAAUACAGAUCAAAAUUUCCCUCACUCUUAAAAGGAAAUCUGUAAAAAGUAAAGUAAAACGUUAUUUAUUCACACAACCACAUCUAGAGACCGUAUUCUGGAUGAGGACAGGAGACGAUAGUCUGCCAUCAAAAAAAGUAAGGGACGGCCACGCAAACUGAUGACAGAAAAGAGUGAACCCGCUGUAAAAAUAGAAGGAAAG
Molecule: long non-coding RNA, 827 nt
Filed under: Manihot esculenta (cassava)
Lineage: Eukaryota; Viridiplantae; Streptophyta; Magnoliopsida; Malpighiales; Euphorbiaceae
Description: long non-coding RNA (MESC_LNC002467)
Source: RNAcentral